GACGAACGCUGGCGGCGUGCUUAACACAUGCAAGUCGAACGGAAAGGCCCUGCUUUUGUGGGGUGCUCGAGUGGCGAACGGGUGAGUAACACGUGAGUAACCUGCCCUUGACUUUGGGAUAACUUCAGGAAACUGGGGCUAAUACCGGAUAGGAGCUCCUGCUGCAUGGUGGGUGUUGGAAAGUUUCGGCGGUUGGGGAUGGACUCGCGGCUUAUCAGCUUGUUGGUGGGGUAGUGGCUUACCAAGGCUUUGACGGGUAGCCGGCCUGAGAGGGUGACCGGCAACAGUGGGACUGAGAUACGGCACAGACUCCUACGGGAGGCAGCAGUGGGGAAUAUUGCACAAUGGGCGGAAGCAUGAUGCAGCAACGCCGCGUGCGGGAUGACGACCUUCGUGUUGUAAACCGCUUUCGCCUGUGACGAAGCGUGAGUGACGGUACUGGGUAAAGAAGCACCGGCUAACUACGUG
Molecule: ribosomal RNA, 468 nt
Filed under: uncultured bacterium
Lineage: Bacteria
Description: partial 16S ribosomal RNA
Rfam family: Bacterial small subunit ribosomal RNA
Source: RNAcentral